This is a long non-coding RNA of Melitaea cinxia (Glanville fritillary), 1547 nucleotides long. RefSeq lists it as uncharacterized. The transcript is spliced from 2 exons. NCBI's taxonomy places the organism in Eukaryota, Metazoa, Arthropoda, Insecta, Lepidoptera, Nymphalidae. The record is from RefSeq and is a predicted model, not a curated record.
UUUGUUUAGUCUAAAUGUAUUAUGAAAUCUAUUGAAUAUAAUUUUGUUUAAAUUGUAAUUAAUUCACUGGAUAUAAUGUGAGGUGAAAUUAUAAAAUUAACGUUGUCUAUAUACAUUACAUACAUAUUCCAUAAUCAAUAAUAAGAAAUAAAAGCGGUGCUCUUAUCACAAAACGCAAUAUGAUAGGCCUUGACAAAUAUUUUGCGAAAAAUAUAAUUAGAAAUAAUUAAAUAUUACACUUAGAACGUAAUUUAUACAUUUUUAAAAGUCCAUAAUAUCUCAUUGAAUUUUACUACCUAAAGUAUGGCCAUUUUUUCCGACGUUUAUAUAUAGCAUCAUGUUUGGUUUGUUAGGUUCUUGGUUAAAGAUGUUUAAAACACACUUAUUUUUAUUUAAUCCAUCUCCUAUAAUGAUGUUUAGUUCCCACCUUUGCCAUAGAAAUAAGCAUUUUCUUCAUUCUUGUUUACAUUUUGUCUAAAAUGCUAAAAUUGUUUAGUGAUCUCAUUACUUUUCCAUUUAUUUUGUCUAAUUUAUAAACGCCAUACUCUAUAUAUCGAAUAUCUUCCUCACAACAUAGAAUUUUCGUGUAACUCAAAUGACACUAACAUAUCCUAAAUAUUUCAAAUGUAUUGGCAUGAAAUUUCAAUAACAUUACUUAUUAUUAUUUUAAUAAUGAGAAAUCAGCACAAAUUGUUUUAAACAAGAUUUAAAUCAAACUCUUUAUUUUUAUUUCAUGGCAGAACAAAACAUUCCGGUACACAUAAACAUGCAUUUUUAUGUUAUGAUUACUACUUAUAUGUAAUUAUUUUGCAGUGGCUCGCUAAUACUCAAGAAAUAUUUGUAUUAUUUAUAAAGAAAGGAGUAAAGAGUAUACUUAAUCUGGUCACGAAUUAUGGGUGUUUUUAAAACAUGCGAAAAGAAUUGUUUAGAUGAUUAAGGCCCGAUCCGUAUUACAGUGCUGAUCUCAGUUCGUUCUUAGUCCGAUUUCGACCCGGUAAAAUAUUGUUUAACGAGAAGCUAUGAAUUGUAGUAGUAGAAUGCUUCCUAAUCCUAACAGUCAAGUUCCGAUCAAAUCAAAGUCCAGCAACGAUCCGUCUAUUGUGUCUUGUUUACUGGAUCCAGAUCGAACCGAGAACGAACAGAGAAUCAGCACUGUAAUGUGGAUCAGGCGUAAGUUUUAUUGAAAUGAGAACAAUUUUUUUUGUUAUUAAGGUCAACAUUAUGCCAAAUUGUUACAUUAUUAUUUGUCAUUACAUAAUAAUGCGUGGAUGUUAAUGGUUGGGAUAGAGUAAUCAUGUCAUGAACUUAGUGAGACCGUUAGCUGUAGCAAGUGAUUGUGAGAAAUUCUAUGACCAGGAUACUUUACGUAAUUAUUAUUAUUAUUAUUGUCAUAAUAAAACAAUUUUUAAACCUUUUUAUGCAAUACCAGUUUUAUUUAUUUAAAGUGAUUAGGCGGAAUGUUUAUAAUAUUCAAUUGUAGUUUUGUUGCAGUGAUAUUAUGAAUGUUAUAAGAAUAAAUGGAUAUUUUAAUAAAAGUCAUUUAAAUA